UAUCUCGUUGACUAAUAGGUAAGUCAUAAAUUUUUGGUAUUUACUAUUGAGUGUUCGAAUCACUCCGAGAUAA
This 73-nucleotide transfer RNA is filed under the name Orbiocrella petchii. Its description in RNAcentral is "tRNA-Gln". It matches the Rfam family "tRNA". From Rfam's summary of the family: Transfer RNA (tRNA) molecules are approximately 80 nucleotides in length. Their secondary structure includes four short double-helical elements and three loops (D, anti-codon, and T loops). The record is from RNAcentral. Lineage: Eukaryota; Fungi; Ascomycota; Sordariomycetes; Hypocreales; Clavicipitaceae.